Molecule: non-coding RNA, 220 nt
Organism: Peromyscus maniculatus bairdii (prairie deer mouse)
Lineage: Eukaryota; Metazoa; Chordata; Mammalia; Rodentia; Cricetidae
Source: RefSeq, a predicted model, not a curated record
GGACCCCUCAUGGGCAUCUCCCGAUCCCCAGAUGGAUCCAAACAGACGGACCCCUCACGGGCAUCCUAACAGACGGACCCCUCUCGGGCGUCCUAUGACGGGGGGACCUGUAAGGACCCCCGAGUCCUGAUGAGGGGUUGGAACGUCUUCCAACUCCUCCAGGUCACCUUACAGGCGCGUCCGCCAAGGUGAGCCUGUCAGAUUCAACUGCCGGCUUCGG